UCCUGCUGAAGGAAUCUUUUGCUUGUCCUAAAAGCACAGGUGAAUAAGGGGUGGGCAAGUCUGGUGUCAGCCGCCGCGGUAAUACCAGCACCUCGAGUGGUCAGGACGUUUAUUGGGCCUAAAGCAUCCGUAGCCGGCUUUGCAAGUCUCCGGUUAAAUCCACCUGCUCAACAGAUGGGCCGCUGGAGAUACUACAAAGCUAGGGAGUGGGAGAGGCGGACGGUAUUCAGUGGGUAGGGGUAAAAUCCUCUGAUCCAUCGAGGACCACCAGUGGCGAAGGCGGUCCGCCAGAACACGUUCGACGGUGAGGGAUGAAAGCUGGGGGAGCAAACCGGAUUAGAUACCCGCGUAGUCC
This 355-nucleotide ribosomal RNA is filed under the name uncultured bacterium. Its description in RNAcentral is "bacterial SSU rRNA". It matches the Rfam family "Archaeal small subunit ribosomal RNA", at positions 390 to 747 of the family's 1478-position model. The record is from RNAcentral.